Molecule: non-coding RNA, 73 nt
Organism: Parelaphostrongylus tenuis
Lineage: Eukaryota; Metazoa; Nematoda; Chromadorea; Rhabditida; Metastrongylidae
Source: the annotation of a GenBank genome assembly
GCGUCGAUAGUGCAACGGGUUAGCACGCGCCCCUGGAUACGGUGGAAUGCGGAUUCGAGUCCCGAUCGAUGCA